This 420-nucleotide unclassified non-coding RNA is filed under the name soil metagenome. Its description in RNAcentral is "partial contains 5.8S ribosomal RNA, internal transcribed spacer 2, and large subunit ribosomal RNA". The stretch from base 1 to 120 matches the Rfam family "5.8S ribosomal RNA", at positions 35 to 154 of the family's 154-position model. The record is from RNAcentral.
GAUGAAGAACGCAGCGAAAUGCGAUACGUAAUGUGAAUUGCAGAAUUCAGUGAAUCAUCGAAUCUUUGAACGCAUAUUGCGCUCUUUGGUAUUCCGAAGAGCAUGCUUGUUUGAGUAUCAGUAAACACCUCAACCUCUUCUUGAUUUUUCAAAAGGAGGGUGGACUUGAGCUAUCCCAACAACCUUUACCGGUCGGCGGGCGGCUUGAAAUGCAGGUGCAGCUGGACUUUUAUCUGAGCUAAAAGCAUAUCUAUUUAGUCCUCGUCAAACAGGAUUAUUACUUUUGCUGCAGCUAACAUAAAGGAUAAUUGUCCUCUUUGCUGACUGAUGCAGGAUUUUACGACACUUUAUGUGUUGUUCAACUCGAUCUCAAAUCAAGUAAGACUACCCGCUGAACUUAAGCAUACAAUAAGCGGAGGA